CCUACGGGCGGCAGCAGUGAGGAAUAUUGGUCAAUGGGCGCGAGCCUGAACCAGCCAAGUAGCGUGAAGGAUGACUGCCCUACGGGUUGUAAACUUCUUUUAUACAGGAAUAAAGUGAGGCACGUGUGCCUUUUUGUAUGUACUUUAUGAAUAAGGAUCGGCUAACUCCGUGCCAGCAGCCGCGGUAAUACGGAGGAUCCGAGCGUUAUCCGGAUUUAUUGGGUUUAAAGGGAGCGUAGGUGGGUUGAUAAGUCAGUUGUGAAAGUUUGCGGCUUAACCGGAAAAUUGCAAUUGAUACUGGCAUUCUUGAGUGUAGAUGAGGUAGGCGGAAUUCGUGGUGUAGCGGUGAAAUGCUUAGAGAUCACGAAGAACUCCGAUUGCGAAGGCAGCUUACUAAUCUGCCACUGACAUUGAUGCUCGAAAGUGUGGGUAUCAAACAGGAUUAGAUACCCUUGUAGUC
Molecule: ribosomal RNA, 460 nt
Filed under: uncultured bacterium
Lineage: Bacteria
Description: partial 16S ribosomal RNA
Rfam family: Bacterial small subunit ribosomal RNA
Source: RNAcentral